This 23-nucleotide non-coding RNA is filed under the name Arabidopsis thaliana (thale cress). Lineage: Eukaryota; Viridiplantae; Streptophyta; Magnoliopsida; Brassicales; Brassicaceae. The record is from RNAcentral.
UGCCUGCUAAGUACAUGGGCUCU